This 601-nucleotide long non-coding RNA is filed under the name Coturnix japonica (Japanese quail). RNAcentral's name for it is "lncRNA (ENSCJPG00005001649.1)". Lineage: Eukaryota; Metazoa; Chordata; Aves; Galliformes; Phasianidae. The record is from RNAcentral.
AUGGGGUUGUGGAGGAACGCCCGCUCAUGUCUUCAAUGGGGGUUAUGGGGUGAGGUGGGGUUAUGGGGUUUUUCCUAUGGGCGUUCUUAUUGGGUUAUAGGUUCUUAUGGGUGGGGGGGGAUAUGGGGUUGUGGGGACUCCCCCCAUGUCCUUCAAUGGGAUUCUAUGGGGGGGGAUUUGGGGUCCCCCAUAUCCUUCAAUGGGGGUUUAUGGGGUGGGGAUGGGGUUAUGGGGUUUCUAUGGGGUUCUUAUGGGGUUUCUAUGGGGUUCUUAUGGGGUUUUAGGGUUCUUAUGGGAUCAGUGGGGGAUAUGGGGUUGUGGGGACCCCCCCCAUGUCCUUCAAUGGGAUUCUAUGGGGUGUGAGGGGGAUUUGGGGUCCCCCAAUCCCCCCCAUUAUAUCCCCCCCAUUGGGUUUAAUUAGUCGCUGUCCAUGGUGCUGAAGAUCCAAUUGCUGUCCAUGGUGCUGAAGAUCCAAUUAACAUUAAUUCCUCCCCCUCUUAUUGGCGUUAAUUACUUAAUUAGUUGCUGUUCAUGGUGCUGAUGAUCCAAUUAACUUUAAUUACCCCCUUCCCAUCGGCGUUAAUUACUUAAUUAGUUGCUG